Molecule: microRNA precursor, 102 nt
Filed under: Olea europaea subsp. europaea
Lineage: Eukaryota; Viridiplantae; Streptophyta; Magnoliopsida; Lamiales; Oleaceae
Source: RNAcentral
GAUCCUCUCUGCUUUUGACUCAAUAAAAUUAUUUUACUUACAAUGAAGCAGCGCUAUAAUUGUAAGUAAAAUAAUUUUAUUGUGUCAAAAGCAAAGAGGAUC